This 291-nucleotide ribosomal RNA is filed under the name uncultured bacterium. RNAcentral's name for it is "partial 16S ribosomal RNA". The record is from RNAcentral.
GGACUACUGGGGUAUCUAAUCCUGUUUGCUCCCCACGCUUUCGCGCCUCAGCGUCAGUUACAGCCCAGAGAGUCGCCUUCGCCACUGGUGUUCCUCCACAUAUCUACGCAUUUCACCGCUACACGUGGAAUUCCACUCUCCUCUUCUGCACUCAAGCUCCCCAGUUUCCAGUGCGACCCGAAGUUGAGCCUCGGGAUUAAACACCAGACUUAAAGAGCCGCCUGCGCGCGCUUUACGCCCAAUAAUUCCGGACAACGCUUGCCCCCUACGUAUUACCGCGGCGGCUGGCAC